UAAAUUCUUAUUAUUAUUAUUUGAAUCCGUUUGAAUUUUAAAGGAUCUUUAUAAAUAUGGUGCACAAGUUUAAUUAGUGGUUUGAGCAUAUUUAUAUGAGCCUUAUGGAUUUUUUUUAGUGGGCAUGAAGCCAUGAAAUUUCCUUUAAAUGGGAUAUUAAAUUUUAUAAAGUGUUUUACUUCAAUGAUUAUACUGUAAGGAUUUCAUAAAUAAUCUUUUAAUUGAUUAGAGUCAAGAGCUCUAUUUAAAUUUAAUUCAUCUUAACCGUAGCCUACUUCCCCACCAUUACAUUUUUUUUCUUUCUUUUUCCCCACCACUACAUCUACUCUUCCACUUCACUACCAACUUUCACCACCAACUCUCCUUUAUGCAGACAAUCAAAUCCUCAUAAUCUUAGCAAAUCUUAUCAUCAAAAUCUUAUCAUCAAUCCUCUGCCAUUUCAAUUAGACAAAAGCCAAGUUUUAAAAGCUAAGUUUCCUUCUAUUAGUUCAUCCGCUCUUUCCUUCUCUUUUCAACACACCCAACAAAGUUUAAAGUGCAGAGGUAAGUGUUCCAACCAAUCCUCUUCUUCUUCCUUGGGGAUACAACCCUCCAUUUUAACUAUGUUUAUGUUUCCAAAUUCCAGUAAUCAAGCAGAUUCAGAUCCAAAUUCAUUGUUAAAUUGUUGAUUCGCAGAUCAAACUUUGUGAGUUCAGAAAAUUAUCAAGGUUACUUCCUACUUCCUCCAUACAUUCAUUUGUUAAAUUACAAAACUAUGAUUCAAAUGAAAACAGAUCGAACACACGCAUCCAUUACCACUUCUUUUAGACUAUUAUUGUUUCAAUUACAUCAGCUUAUCACCAUCAGAGAACCACCAACAGAAUAAUACACACGCACACAUUUUACUAUAUUCUCUAAUCUAUUACAUGUACAAUCAGUUUUAAUAAAAAGGAAAUGAAUGAUUGAAAGAACAGAUUAAUAAAACCCUAAGUGCUCUAUGUGUGUUUUGUGCGUGUGACUGGAAUUUGGGGGGGGAUGAGUUUCCUGUCCUUGUGUCCGAGUCAGGGGAGGGAGUGAGACAGCCGGCGGCUGCUCAGGGCCGGCGACGGCAACGAUGCCGCCGAGCCGCCUUUUCCUUUUUCUGUCAGAAAUUGGGAGAGGAGAAAGAUUAUUAGAGUUUCAGUUUAAAAAAAAAAGAAGAGAGAGAGAAACGGAGAAAAGGGGUAAGAGAAGAAGAGAGGGAAGGGAGGACUUAUCUUCUCUGGUGACGACGACGCGGCGGCAUCGGCGGCGGCGAUACGGCGGUGGGAGCACCGGGCUGGUCCUGCUCGGCCGGAAAAGAGGAUAAAAUGGGGGAAACUCAGAUCUAGUUUUAAGAAAAGAAAAGAGGAGGAAAGAAAGAGAUUUAGGGCUUACCUGUGAGAAACGAUGCUCGGCUUCUCCACGGCGAGUUCGGACGGCCGGUGAAGAAGACGACCAGUAGAUGACAGGGGCUGAGAGAGGUGGCCGUGUUCUGCCGAUCAUCGGCGGCGGAGGCAGGACGAGGACAGGUAGGAGGCGGCGUGUGGUUGUUUCCGAGAGAUAGAGACGGACGAAAAGGGAAGAACCGAAGGGAAAGAGGGGAAGGAGAGAGAGAAGAGAAGCGGCCGGCGAAGCGGCGCUCGCUGCUGACGGCGCCGCUGUCGUCCGGCGAGGGAGAGGGAGGCAGACCGAGAGGGAGAGAGAGGGAGAGUGAAAGGCGUGCUGUGUGUGUGCGUGUGUUAUGUGUUUUGUGUGUGUGGUAUAUGUAUGUAUGAUUAGGGUUAGGCUUGGGCUCAAAGCCCUUCUUGCUAGCUUGGGCCGAAAAUUUUAAAUAAGGGAAUGGGCCGAUUUUUUAUUUAAGAAAAUGUACUUGGCCCAUUUUAUUUUAAAUUAUGUUGGGUAUUUAUUUAAAUUGAUUGAGGCUCAUUUUAAUUAAGUUUUGAACUGUUAAUUGAUUAAUAAAGCCUACGAAUUUUUGGCCUUAUUUAUUUUAAAAUGUUUGAAUUUUCACUAAAUUAAUUUAGUGAAUUUAAAUCUCUUGAUUUAAUUUUUAAUAUUUAAGGUUGGAACUAUUUAUUUUAAAUGAUGUCCGUUCUUUUAUUUAAUUUAUUGUUGAACUUUAAAAAAAAAUUGGGAUUAAACCCUCAUUUUUAUAAUAUUUCAAGGCUUUUCGAGUAUGGAUUUUUAAAUGGUUAAAAUGUUUUAUUUCAUCUCAAUGGAUUUUAAAAUGUUUUAUUAUUUAUAAAUGAAUAAUGGAAUUUCUUAUUUAUUUACAUGAUAAAAAAAAAUGUGGAAUUGUGUUAUAGAAUGAUUAAGUAUAUGAUUUACUUUAUCAAAUGAGCUUGGGAUUUAAUUGAGAUAUUAAAUUACUAAGCAUGUGUUUAUAAAUGAUUUAUUUAUUUAAGUGAUGAAAAUGUGCGAAGUAUGAGAAAGCAUGAUUUAUAAUGAUUAAAUUUUUAGGGUAAUAAUAUAUAGCUUGUUCUUAAUUGAUGGAGUACUUGACUAAAUGACGGGUGUAGAAGGAAGUUAUGGAUUAUGUACAUGUUGAUGUUCGAACAAUUGGGUUCGAACCUAUAUGAUAGUUACAUGAUAAUUGGUUACAUUUUAUUGAUUGAAUGAAACGAGAUUAAUAUGGAUGCUAGAACCCUAAAACAUUAAAAGAUACCCUAGGCACAUAGAAUUAGACUUUGUCUUAUGACAAUUUCUUCACGAACUUAUCGACUCUUCAUCAAUGAAGGUCCGGGCGACAGAAAGUGAAGCAGAAGAAGAAACGACUCCACGCCAGCUUUAAGAACAAUUGAGGUGGG
Molecule: long non-coding RNA, 2807 nt
Filed under: Salvia miltiorrhiza (redroot sage)
Lineage: Eukaryota; Viridiplantae; Streptophyta; Magnoliopsida; Lamiales; Lamiaceae
Description: long non-coding RNA (SMIL_LNC010660)
Source: RNAcentral